UGUGUGUGUGUGUGUGUUUGUGACCUGAAAAAGCAAUGGCGGAGGUUUAUUCGUUGAUAAUAUUUGAAGGGUUUUUUUAGAAAUAUUUGAGGGGAAAAGGAAAUAAUUAAGAGUUGUAAAGAGAGUUUAUCAGGUGAUCAAGGUGUUGAAUUAGGCAAAGAAUGACGAGUUUACAGCUAUAAUUAGGUAAUUUUACUAGUUAUAUUUUCAUGUGAAUUUUAACAUUUGAUUCACUAUAAUUAGAGUGUAUAUAUUUUUCAGUAUUAUCUCUCGUUUUUAGUGACAAUUAUAUAUAUACCAAGAAAAUAAUGGAGGAAGAAAGGAGGAGGCCUUGAUGAGAACAAUUACUAUUGG
Molecule: unclassified non-coding RNA, 354 nt
Filed under: Hevea brasiliensis (rubber tree)
Lineage: Eukaryota; Viridiplantae; Streptophyta; Magnoliopsida; Malpighiales; Euphorbiaceae
Source: RNAcentral